Molecule: long non-coding RNA, 3670 nt
Filed under: Ananas comosus (pineapple)
Lineage: Eukaryota; Viridiplantae; Streptophyta; Magnoliopsida; Poales; Bromeliaceae
Description: long non-coding RNA (ACOM_LNC022106)
Source: RNAcentral
GCCUUUGCCACCAAGUUGGUCAUCGCUCUUCAGUUAUUUGAUCAAAUGCCGGUUUGAGUCUUCUUUCACGUUUUUUCUCAAAUACCAGCAAAAUGAUUUACAUCUUUUUAAUUUUCUCUCUUCGGUUCAUUUUUUAUAGGUAUUUAUAUCUGUUUGGAUGAAAGGGCAAGAUAGUUUUAUUAUCUUUUUUUUCUAAUACAAUUUCUUUCCUUUGUUGAGAAUCUAUUGUUUUUACUAAUUAUAUUUGUUUUGACAUUUUGGAUGUUAUAAUGAUACAACGCUACUUUGACUAUCUAGUUUGGCAAGUUCUCAUUCUAUUUCAAUGUCUAUUAACAGCUUGGUGUAAUUUACUAUUUUUUUGUUGUCCUAGAUUAUAGUACAUUUUACUAUUUGGAUAUUUCCAUUUCACCAUUUUUGUUGGAUUUAUUAAAAAGUUCAUUUUGCUAAUUUUAAUGUUUGUUUUUGCCCUACAUCUGUUUGAUGAAAUGCCAAAUUCACCUUCUUUUUUAAUAUCUCACAAAUCUUUAUAAUAUGCUAACUUUGUACAAGUUUUUUUAAUUUUAUUUUUUUUAAAAUUUUUUCCAAGUUAUUCAUCGCAAAAUAGCCGAUUUUGUGCCAAACGCUAGCCAUUAUUGCAAAUUUACAAAAGUAUGUUUUACGUGAUGAUGUAAAAAUACAUUCUUUUCUACUUGGCAUGACGAGUAUAGAAUUUACGUAAGAAAAUCCAACCUUUACUUCUAUUUGAGUGAUUCUAUUUUCUUUUUUUCUUCAUGCUAAACCCCAUAGGUAGAAGCUUCUAAUUGCAAUUUUUUUUUUACUUUCUAUUGCUAUAGUUAGACUGUAUGAUGUUAUACUUGAAAAUUAAUAUUAACUAGUGCAGUGACUCGCGCGAUGCAGCGAAAAAAAAUAUUUUAAUAAAAAUUUAUAAAUUAAAUAAAUAAAUAUAAAUGUAAAGAAGAAACAAAAAAAUAUAACCUAUUUAAUUAGACUUAAUAAUAUGAAAAACAUAUUAAAAAAUAUUUAAAAUGAAAUCACAACUCAACGAAAAAUAAUAAACGAAACUGAAAAGAAAGAAAGUAUAUAAGAAUUAUAUGAGAAGAAAAAUGGUAUAGAUAUUAUAAAAAAAAUAUUUGAAAUAUUGCAAGUGAAACAUAACNCAUUCUCGUCGGGUCUAAACCAAAUCACAGAUAGACAGAGAAGGACCAGAAUUACCAACGGACUUAGCUCUCACACUUCUGGCCGGUAUUCGGCUCUGAUACCAAAUGUAACGGCGUGACCCGCUAGCAAUAAUAACUCGUUGGGCCCAAACCAUCGGCCCAAAAUGUUUAAGCCCAGUUAUUAUUACUAGCGUGUAGGCCUCAUAUAAACCGAUCGAAAUCAGUAUCUCACCCGAUGUGGGAUUAUUGGAUCGGGUGAGAUAUUGGGGGCGUUACAAACUCCUCAUGUUUAGACCAUGACGUCCUCGUCGGGUCCAAAUAAGAUCACAGAUAGACAGACCAGAACUAGAAUUACCAGGCGAUGUGAGAUUCUAGAGGACCAGAACCAGAAUUACCAGGCGAUGUGAGAUUCUAGAGGUGGCUCCCACCAAAUCGGGAGGUAAGAAUUACUAGGCGAUAUGAGAUUCUAGAGGACCAGAACCAGAAUUACCAGAUGUGAGAUUCUAGAGGUGGCUCCCACCAAAUCGGUUGGUGUAGCACUUUGUCCCGCAUAGCACUUAGCUCUCACACUUCCGGCUGGUAUUCGUCUCUGAUACCAAUUGCAACGACCCGACCCGCUAGCAACAAUAACUCAUUGGGCCCAAACCACCGACCCAAAAUGCUUAAGCCCGGUUGUAGUAUCCAUAUUUCUUUAUCUUUUCUCUUCUUUUUUCUUUUUAUUUCUUUUGAGUUGGUAAGCUAGCUGGGGAUAAGGAUGCCACGUGCACCUUACCCCCAAGCAUGCUUAUCAUCUUGAUACAUGUGCAUUGUAUAUAUAUAGAUCUUGAGCCGUACGUAGAGGAGGAGCUCGGGUGGUGUGGAGUUUCGUCGACGUCGCGCCGCGGUGCCGUUCGAGCGUGUGUUCGUCGUCGUAGCAUCGCGAGGGGGGCCGGGCGAGGGUCCGAUUCCGCCGUUUUUGUUGUCGCGCCGGAUUGUGAUUAGCGUUUGAGGUGGGUUACAUCGGCUUUACUCCUAAGUUCGUAUUGGUCGACAUGUAUAGAUUUUGAUUUCGGUAAUUAAUGUUAGCUCAAAUUCAUGGAUUAAUUGUAGAUUGUGAAAUCUGAAUUUUGGAGCAUGUUUUAUAAAUUAGGUAGAUUAUACAUGUUGGACUUGAAAAUUGAAUUAGGAGAAAACCUGCGAUUUUGGCCUGUCACCUGUAUAAACUGCUUGAUUUAGCUCUAGGAGCCGUUAGAAAAUUGUACUGUCGCAGUUUCUUCGAGACGAGUACUCCAGGUAGUUUAGAAUGUAUUUACACUCGUGCUGGUUCGCCGAGUGGAUUUUUACAGGGUCGUUCAGGUUGUUCGGACUGUUGGGUGCCGUCAGAGUUGACGGUGGACCCGUAUCGCCUUGUUGGCGUCAGACUGUGCCGAGGGCACGUUACCUGUUAGUUGUUAGAUCAGUUUGAGUUGAUUACUUGACUUUGGCUAGUUGGAGCCUGAUUGAGCUCGACAGAGAUACGCUGCAUACUCGGUUGGGUAGCGCCCACGAGUGCCACUCCGGAGUCAGGCUUUGUGCUUUCGCGUUGGUGUCGCUCAUGCCAGUUGGACUUGCUCUCCAUGGACCAGUUAGUGUGGAUAGAGCCUGAUAGUCGCAACGGGGCAGGGACGGGUGUAUUCACAGUUCCGGGGACGGGUAUGCUUACAGUCCCGAUUGGAUUGGGUCAGAGUUGACAUUUCCUACAGUUGGUUAGUGUAGAGCAUGAUAGUGUAGUGAUCGAUAGCGGUAGAGUUUAUUUUCUGCUUUUCUGACUACUCUUGCUCCCUUCUGUAGACUUAGUGGGUGGACCGAUGUUGUUUUGGGCGGUAUCCACUGAGGACUACUUGUUUUUAUAGUAGUUCUCACGCCCAGUUGUUACCCCUGUUUUGCAGAGCCACAGGUUUCGGCUGCUGCGCCUUUCGCGGAUCAGGAUCGAGGCAAGGGCGUCGCGAGUUAGAGCCCUACCCGACUGACAGAGCUAGAGGCACCCUACUGCAGGUAGUUGUUUUACUUCGAGCUUAUGUACAUAGUACUUAACUCGCCAGUGCGAGUAACGCUGUAUUUUGGAUUUGGACUAUGUAUAUGAACUCAGUUUGUUUAGCUUCUGUUUUCUCUAGCAGCUCUCUACUACUGUUCGUAGUAGUGUUUGAUUUACAGGUACAGCUGUCGCUUCGUAUACAGGAAAAAUUUCUUUGUAUACGGCGGAUUUGUCGGCGUGCCCGGGGAAGGAGACAUCCGGGGCGUGACACCGGUUAUUAUUACUAGCGUGUACGCCUCAUAUAAACUGAUCGGAAUCAGUAUCCCAUCCGAUGUAGGAUUAUUGGGGCGUUACAAGUUCCUUCAGCUCUACUGCUUAUUCGGUAGAAAGUGAAUGGCAUAAAAACUAAUUUAUACAUAAAUAAUAAAUAACUUAAUAAAUAAUAAAUUAUAAUAUAAUAAAUAAAUAAUAUAAUAUAAUUAUAUUUCUAUAUAAUUAAAAAAAUGUAAUAUGAAAAUUU